Molecule: ribosomal RNA, 701 nt
Filed under: uncultured bacterium
Lineage: Bacteria
Description: bacterial SSU rRNA
Rfam family: Bacterial small subunit ribosomal RNA
Source: RNAcentral
GAACGGGGAUGCAUUAAGAAGGAGUGCUUGCAUUCCGGAAGGAUGUAUCUUAGUGGCGGACGGGUGAGUAACGCGUGGGUAACCUGCCCCAUACCGGGGGAUACCACCUGGAAACAGGUGCUAAUACCGCAUAAGCGCACGGAAGCGCAUGCUCCUGUGUGAAAAACUCCGGUGGUAUGGGAUGGACCCGCGUCUGAUUAGCCAGUUGGCAGGGUAACGGCCUACCAAAGCGACGAUCAGUAGCCGGCCUGAGAGGGUGGACGGCCACAUUGGGACUGAGACACGGCCCAAACUCCUACGGGAGGCAGCAGUGGGGAAUAUUGCACAAUGGGGGGAACCCUGAUGCAGCGACGCCGCGUGAGUGAAGAAGUAUCUCGGUAUGUAAAGCUCUAUCAGCAGGAACGAGACAAGACGGUACCUGACUAAGAAGCACCGGCUAACUACGUGCCAGCAGCCGCGGUAAUACGUAUGGUGCAAGCGUUAUCCGGAUUUACUGGGUGUAAAGGGAGCGCAGGCGGCGCGGCAAGUCAGAUGUGAAAGCCCGGGGCUCAACCCCGGGACUGCAUUUGAAACUGCCGGGCUAGAGUGUCGGAGAGGCAAGUGGAAUUCCUAGUGUAGCGGUGAAAUGCGUAGAUAUUAGGGGGAACACCAGUGGCGAAGGCGGCUUGCUGGACGAUCACUGACGCUGAGGCUCGAAAGCG